RNAcentral lists this ribosomal RNA (647 nucleotides) under uncultured bacterium. Its description in RNAcentral is "bacterial SSU rRNA". It matches the Rfam family "Bacterial small subunit ribosomal RNA", at positions 8 to 649 of the family's 1533-position model. The record is from RNAcentral.
AGAGUUUGAUCAUGGCUCAGAUUGAACGCUGGCGGCAGGCUUAACACAUGCAAGUCGAGCGGGGGAAGGUAGCUUGCUACUGGACCUAGCGGCGGACGGGUGAGUAAUGCUUAGGAAUCUGCCUAUUAGUGGGGGACAACAUUCCGAAAGGAAUGCUAAUACCGCAUACGUCCUACGGGAGAAAGCAGGGGACCUUCGGGCCUUGCGCUAAUAGAUGAGCCUAAGUCGGAUUAGCUAGUUGGUGGGGUAAAGGCCUACCAAGGCGACGAUCUGUAGCGGGUCUGAGAGGAUGAUCCGCCACACUGGGACUGAGACACGGCCCAGACUCCUACGGGAGGCAGCAGUGGGGAAUAUUGGACAAUGGGGGGAACCCUGAUCCAGCCAUGCCGCGUGUGUGAAGAAGGCCUUAUGGUUGUAAAGCACUUUAAGCGAGGAGGAGGCUACUAGUAUUAAUACUACUGGAUAGUGGACGUUACUCGCAGAAUAAGCACCGGCUAACUCUGUGCCAGCAGCCGCGGUAAUACAGAGGGUGCGAGCGUUAAUCGGAUUUACUGGGCGUAAAGCGUGCGUAGGCGGCCAUUUAAGUCAAAUGUGAAAUCCCCGAGCUUAACUUGGGAAUUGCAUUCGAUACUGGAUGGCUAGAGUAU